GAUGAACGCUAGCGACAGGCCUAACACAUGCAAGUCGAGGGGCAGCACAAGGAGCAAUCUGAGGUGGCGACCGGCGCACGGGUGAGUAACACGUAUGCAACCUACCUGUAAGAGGGGAAUAACCCGUUGAAAAACGGACUAAUACCGCAUAACACUGUAGAACCGCAUGGUUUGACAGUUAAACAUUUAUGGCUUACAGAUGGGCAUGCGCAUGAUUAGCUAGUUGGUGAGGUAACGGCUCACCAAGGCAACGAUCAUUAGGGGUUCUGAGAGGAAGGUCCCCCACACUGGUACUGAGACACGGACCAGACUCCUACGGGAGGCAGCAGUGAGGAAUAUUGGUCAAUGGGCGAGAGCCUGAACCAGCCAAGUCGCGUGAAGGAUGAAGGUUUUAUGAAUUGUAAACUUCUUUUGCAGGGGAAUAAAGUGUCCGACGUGUCGGAUUUUGUAUGUACUCUGCGAAUAAGGAUCGGCUAACUCCGUGCCAGCAGCCGG
RNAcentral lists this ribosomal RNA (495 nucleotides) under uncultured bacterium. RNAcentral describes it as "bacterial SSU rRNA". It matches the Rfam family "Bacterial small subunit ribosomal RNA", at positions 28 to 518 of the family's 1533-position model. The record is from RNAcentral.